RNAcentral lists this ribosomal RNA (465 nucleotides) under uncultured bacterium. Its description in RNAcentral is "partial 16S ribosomal RNA". It matches the Rfam family "Bacterial small subunit ribosomal RNA", at positions 28 to 507 of the family's 1533-position model. The record is from RNAcentral.
GACGAACGCUGGCGGCGUGCUUAACACAUGCAAGUCGAACGGAAAGGCCCUGCUUUUGUGGGGUGCUCGAGUGGCGAACGGGUGAGUAACACGUGAGUAACCUGCCCUUGACUUUGGGAUAACUUCAGGAAACUGGGGCUAAUACCGGAUAGGAGCUCCUGCUGCAUGGUGGGGGUUGGAAAGUUUCGGCGGUUGGGGAUGGACUCGCGGCUUAUCAGCUUGUUGGUGGGGUAGUGGCUUACCAAGGCUUUGACGGGUAGCCGGCCUGAGAGGGUGACCGGCCACAUUGGGACUGAGAUACGGCACAGACUCCUACGGGAGGCAGCAGUGGGGAAUAUUGCACAAUGGGCGGAAGCCUGAUGCAACGCCGCGUGCGGGAUGACGGCCUUCGGGUUGUAAACCGCUUUCGCCUGUGACGAAGCGUGAGUGACGGUAAUGGGUAAAGAAGCACCGGCUAACUACGUG